GAUGAACGCUGGCGGCGUGCCUAAUACAUGCCAGUCGAGCGAACAGACGAGGAGCUUGCUCCUCUGACGUUAGCGGCGGACGGGUGAGUAACACGUGGAUAACCUACCUAUAAGACUGGGAUAACUUCGGGAAACCGGAGCUAAUACCGGAUAAUAUAUUGAACCGCAUGGUUCAAUAGUGAAAGACGGUUUUGCUGUCACUUAUAGAUGGAUCCGCGCCGCAUUAGCUAGUUGGUAAGGUAACGGCUUACCAAGGCAACGAUGCGUAGCCGACCUGAGAGGGUGAUCGGCCACCCUGGAACUGGGACACGGUCCAGACUCCUGCGGGACGCAGCAGUAGGGAAUCUUCCGCAAUGGGCGAAAGCUUGACGGAGCAACGCCGCGUGAGUGAUGAAGGUCUUCGGAUCGUAAAGCUCUGUUAUUAGGGAAGAACAAAUGUGUAAGUAACUAUGCACGUCUUGACGGUACCUAAUCAGAAAGCCACGGCUAACUACGUG
This 497-nucleotide ribosomal RNA is filed under the name uncultured bacterium. RNAcentral's name for it is "partial 16S ribosomal RNA". It matches the Rfam family "Bacterial small subunit ribosomal RNA", at positions 28 to 507 of the family's 1533-position model. The record is from RNAcentral.